RNAcentral lists this long non-coding RNA (1760 nucleotides) under Anthonomus grandis grandis. RNAcentral describes it as "uncharacterized LOC126745552". Lineage: Eukaryota; Metazoa; Arthropoda; Insecta; Coleoptera; Curculionidae. The record is from RNAcentral.
CACAAGAAAAUAAUAUAAAAAAAUUGACCGCGGACUAAAAUCCAAGCAUCUUACAAAAUAUUUUAAACACUUCCAGCACUCACAGACUUGUCACCUCUUUUUAGCCAGUCUAUUAAACAAAGAUAAAACACCUGCGUUCUGGCGAUUCCUACUUUAGGCUGUGCAAGUGAUUUUGUAUCUCUCUCUAUCCCACUGAUUUUAAGAAUUACGGGGCCGUACCCAAAUAAAUUUUUGGGCAGUUUUUGUAUUACUUUCGACGUGUUUUUAAAGAGAUCUUUAAGGAUGGGUCUAUCGCCUUUAAAAUAGUUGUUGGAUGGGUCUAUCACCUUUAAUAGUUGGGAGGCCAUGUGAGGUUAUUAUUUGAUGUGUUUUGACUGUUUUGCCGGUUAUGCUUUUUACACGUUUAUGAAAGUAAAGAAUUUAGAAUUUGGCCUGUAUUCGUCUAAAUUUUUUGCAGUUUUUACUCUGAGGAAGUGUGUUUUUUUAUUUGUGUUUGUGGAUUUGUUUUGGUAUUAUACCUAAAGACCUUAAAAUGUUUCGACCCUGGGAAAAUAGGCAGGAAAAUUUGGCAAAUGAAGAGGAAAGUGUUUGUGCGGGCUUAUGGAGACCGUGGGUGUACAAGAAAGACAAUAACAUUUGUGAUAAAAACAAUAAGAGUGAUCUGGACAGUGAUUUAGACUUACAUAGUUCUGAUAGUUUAUUUUCUAGUAUCGAGGAAGCAAAAAGAAGCAAGAGAAGUAGAAGCUACAGAGGAAAUCAAGCAGUUUUAAAACGUAAUUGUUUAAGUACAGACGCCAAACAAAUUUAUCUAAAUAUCUAUAACAAUCUAAGGAAUGAUCCUCAGUUCACAAAUGUUUGUAGUGCUUUGCAAAAAACAGCGUUUUUAACAGGGGUUCCCUAUAAUACAAUAUGCCUGUAAAAAAAAGGAUUAAAGACAGAAUAAAAAGGAAAGAUGCAGGACAAUCAAAGGGACUUGACACGGAUAUUGCCAAAUUGCUAAGGAAAGGUGUGUAUUCUAAAUACAAAAACAAUGAGGUUCUGACCAUAGAGACAUGUCCAUGUUCUGACCAUAGAGACAUCGGCAAGGGACAAACAUUUCUCAGUCUCAACCUUGCGGAGAUACCUGAUAAAACUUGGAUUUAAGCUUAAGAUGGUUAACAUUAGAGCUGCUGUAAUGGAAUUGUCAGGUGGUGUAUAGAAUAUUUGAGGAAAAUUUAAAAAAAUUGGGAGGAAGAAAGAUCCAUAUAUUAUUUAGCCAAAACAUGAUAUAAUACAUUUAUGAUUGAUGUAUGAUUUCCAUUCUCUGGGAAAAAAGUCCCUUUUUUGUCAUAGUAAGAAAACCAUAUUUUUAUUAAUAAAACAAGUUUAAAAUUUUGUUUUUUACAGCUUACUGCCCCUGUUUGUCCUUCAGUGACACAAUAAAAACUGCUUCUUCCACCAUUCUCUGGAAAAUCUCUUUUUUGAUAUGCUUACUACCCCUGUUGUCCUUCAGCGACACAAUGAAGACUGCUUCUUCCUCUAUUCUCUGGAAAAAAGUCCCUUUUUUGCCAUACUUACUGCCCCUGUUUGUCCUUCAGCGACACAAUAAAGUAUAUAUAAUGUAAUGCUUUAGUAUCCAUAUGCUGAUGUGCGAUAUGAAGUUGGAAUCUAUGGCAGCAACAGAGAAACUGUUUCCUUUCUUAAUGGAAGAAACUGCUAAAGAACAAUGGCAAAAAAACAGAAUUUAAAAAAUUGUAUUAACUUUUUGGGUCAGAUUCAAA